AAAUUGAAGAGUUUGAUCAUGGCUCAGAUUGAACGCUGGCGGCAGGCCUAACACAUGCAAGUCGAACGGUAACAGGAAGCAGCUUGCUGCUUUGCUGACGAGUGGCGGACGGGUGAGUAAUGUCUGGGAAACUGCCUGAUGGAGGGGGAUAACUACUGGAAACGGUGGCUAAUACCGCAUAACGUCGCAAGACCAAAGAGGGGGACCUUCGGGCCUCUUGCCAUCAGAUGUGCCCAGAUGGGAUUAGCUUGUUGGUGAGGUAACGGCUCACCAAGGCGACGAUCCCUAGCUGGUCUGAGAGGAUGACCAGCCACACUGGAACUGAGACACGGUCCAGACUCCUACGGGAGGCAGCAGUGGGGAAUAUUGCACAAUGGGCG
RNAcentral lists this ribosomal RNA (380 nucleotides) under Salmonella enterica. RNAcentral describes it as "bacterial SSU rRNA". It matches the Rfam family "Bacterial small subunit ribosomal RNA", at positions 1 to 377 of the family's 1533-position model. The record is from RNAcentral. RNAcentral also lists the same sequence under 9 other names. Lineage: Bacteria; Pseudomonadati; Pseudomonadota; Gammaproteobacteria; Enterobacterales; Enterobacteriaceae.